RNAcentral lists this ribosomal RNA (430 nucleotides) under uncultured bacterium. Its description in RNAcentral is "bacterial SSU rRNA". It matches the Rfam family "Bacterial small subunit ribosomal RNA", at positions 355 to 776 of the family's 1533-position model. The record is from RNAcentral.
UGGGGAAUUGUUCGCAAUGGGCGCAAGCCUGACGACGCAACGCCGCGUGGAGGAUGAAGAUUUUCGGAUCGUAAACUCCUUUCGAUCGCGACGAAUUGCCUUUGGGAUAACACCCUGGAGGAAUGACGGUACCGAGAGAAGAAGCCCCGGCUAACUCCGUGCCAGCAGCCGCGGUAAUACGGGGGGGGCAAGCGUUGUUCGGAAUUACUGGGCGUAAAGGGCUCGUAGGCGGCCAACUAAGUCAGACGUGAAAUCCCUCGGCUUAACCGGGGAACUGCGUCUGAUACUGGAUGGCUUGAAUUCGGGAGAGGGAUGCGGAAUUCCAGGUGUAGCGGUGAAAUGCGUAGAUAUCUGGAGGAACACCGGUGGCGAAGGCGGCAUCCUGGACCGAGAUUGACGCUGAGGAGCGAAAGCCAGGGGAGCAAACGGG